This 251-nucleotide unclassified non-coding RNA is filed under the name air metagenome. Its description in RNAcentral is "partial contains small subunit ribosomal RNA, internal transcribed spacer 1, and 5.8S ribosomal RNA". The stretch from base 1 to 46 matches the Rfam family "Eukaryotic small subunit ribosomal RNA", at positions 1786 to 1831 of the family's 1831-position model. The record is from RNAcentral.
AAGUCGUAACAAGGUCUCCGUUGGUGAACCAGCGGAGGGAUCAUUAAAGAGUGUAAUAACUCCCAAACCCAUGUGAACAUACCUCAUGUUGCCUCGGCAGGUCGCACUUUUCUCGUAGGUCCUACCCUGUAGGCCCUACCCGGAAGGCGCGGGUACCCCUGCCGGCGGCCCACGAAACUCUGUCUCAUCGUUGAAUUCUGAACCUAUAACUAAAUAAGUUAAAACUUUCAACAACGGAUCUCUUGGUUCUG